This 84-nucleotide transfer RNA is filed under the name Actinomycetota bacterium. RNAcentral describes it as "tRNA-Leu". It matches the Rfam family "tRNA". From Rfam's summary of the family: Transfer RNA (tRNA) molecules are approximately 80 nucleotides in length. Their secondary structure includes four short double-helical elements and three loops (D, anti-codon, and T loops). Lineage: Bacteria; Bacillati; Actinomycetota. The record is from RNAcentral.
GCCGGGUUGAUGGAAUCGGUAGACAUGGCGCUCUCAAAAAGCGCUGCUCGAAAGGGCGUGCGGGUUCGAGUCCCGCACCCGGCA